UGGAGACCUGCUGGUGUCGGGUACAAGCAGUGUUUGGAGUUUGCUGUUUCACAGGAGGGACUUUUGUUGUGGGAGAUGUUGUUUUGGCCUUGGACACCUCCUCUUAACAAGCUCCUUCUCCAGGGAAGCUUUGAAACCCGCCUGAGGUUCUGCAUUGGCUCUGAAUGAAAGGUGUUGUGCGUCUGAAGUGCCCGGCCCAAGAGCUCUCCAGCAAUGCAAACAGGCAGCACACAAAGCCAUUAAAGCUCGAGUGCCUGGCCAUGAUUACCUGGAGACAGUUUGCAGCUGAGUUCUGCAGGAACCGGCUUUGUCUGAAAAACCACCCGCGGCAGGUGGGGAAAGUCCAGCCAUCCACGACUUGUCCUGCAGCCAAGAGGAUCCAGGUCAGUGCUGGGGAGCAGGACUGUGCUGCCACGGGGAUCUCCACACUGCAGCCCUUGCCUGCAGCCACGGCAGCACUGCUUUGGUGUUGCUCAGAGACAGAAGCCAGUCAGAGCAGGAGAGAUGCCAGACUUCAGAAAAAAGCAGGGAGUGGGGCUGAAGCAAGGGAGAAAGAGGAGGAUUGUCUCAGGUGA
This 575-nucleotide long non-coding RNA is filed under the name Junco hyemalis (dark-eyed junco). RNAcentral's name for it is "lncRNA (ENSJHYG00000013749.1)". The record is from RNAcentral. Lineage: Eukaryota; Metazoa; Chordata; Aves; Passeriformes; Passerellidae.